This 1441-nucleotide ribosomal RNA is filed under the name uncultured organism. RNAcentral describes it as "SSU rRNA". It matches the Rfam family "Bacterial small subunit ribosomal RNA". The record is from RNAcentral.
UGGAUGAACGCUAGCUACAGGCUUAACACAUGCAAGUCGAGGGGCAUCAGGAAGAAAGCUUGCUUUCUUUGCUGGCGACCGGCGCACGGGUGAGUAACACGUAUCCAACCUGCCCUUUACUCGGGGAUAGCCUUUCGAAAGAAAGAUUAAUACCCGAUAGCAUAAUGAUUCCGCAUGGUUUCAUUAUUAAAGGAUUCCGGUAAAGGAUGGGGAUGCGUUCCAUUAGGUUGUUGGUGAGGUAACGGCCCACCAAGCCUUCGAUGGAUAGGGGUUCUGAGAGGAAGGUCCCCCACAUUGGAACUGAGACACGGUCCAAACUCCUACGGGAGGCAGCAGUGAGGAAUAUUGGUCAAUGGGCGCUAGCCUGAACCAGCCAAGUAGCGUGAAGGAUGAAGGCUCUAUGGGUCGUAAACUUCUUUUAUAUAAGAAUAAAGUGCAGUAUGUAUACUGUUUUGUAUGUAUUAUAUGAAUAAGGAUCGGCUAACUCCGUGCCAGCAGCCGCGGUAAUACGGAGGAUCCGAGCGUUAUCCGGAUUUAUUGGGUUUAAAGGGAGCGUAGGUGGACUGGUAAGUCAGUUGUGAAAGUUUGCGGCUCAACCGUAAAAUUGCAGUUGAUACUGUCAGUCUUGAGUACAGUAGAGGUGGGCGGAAUUCGUGGUGUAGCGGUGAAAUGCUUAGAUAUCACGAAGAACUCCGAUUGCGAAGGCAGCUCACUGGACUGCAGCUGACACUGAUGCUCGAAAGUGUGGGUAUCAAACAGGAUUAGAUACCCUGGUAGUCCACACAGUAAACGAUGAAUACUCGCUGUUUGCGAUAUACAGUAAGCGGCCAAGCGAAAGCAUUAAGUAUUCCACCUGGGGAGUACGCCGGCAACGGUGAAACUCAAAGGAAUUGACGGGGGCCCGCACAAGCGGAGGAACAUGUGGUUUAAUUCGAUGAUACGCGAGGAACCUUACCCGGGCUUAAAUUGCAGUGGAAUGAUGUGGAAACAUGUCAGUGAGCAAUCACCGCUGUGAAGGUGCUGCAUGGUUGUCGUCAGCUCGUGCCGUGAGGUGUCGGCUUAAGUGCCAUAACGAGCGCAACCCUUAUCUUUAGUUACUAACAGGUUAUGCUGAGGACUCUAGAGAGACUGCCGUCGUAAGAUGUGAGGAAGGUGGGGAUGACGUCAAAUCAGCACGGCCCUUACGUCCGGGGCUACACACGUGUUACAAUGGGGGGUACAGAAGGCAGCUAGCGGGUGACCGUAUGCUAAUCCCAAAAUCCUCUCUCAGUUCGGAUCGAAGUCUGCAACCCGACUUCGUGAAGCUGGAUUCGCUAGUAAUCGCGCAUCAGCCACGGCGCGGUGAAUACGUUCCCGGGCCUUGUACACACCGCCCGUCAAGCCAUGGGAGCCGGGGGUACCUGAAGUACGUAACCGCAAGGAUCGUCCUAGGGUAAAACUG